GAAAUAUGUAGAUUCUAUAAAAAGCUUCUAACUUUUUAAAUAACGAUUUAAUUUCGUUUAUAUUUCU
Molecule: transfer RNA, 67 nt
Filed under: Conaspidia wangi
Lineage: Eukaryota; Metazoa; Arthropoda; Insecta; Hymenoptera; Tenthredinidae
Description: tRNA-Ser
Source: RNAcentral